GACGAACGCUGGCGGCGUGCUUAACACAUGCAAGUCGAACGGAAAGGCCCUGCUUUUGUGGGGUGCUCGAGUGGCGAACGGGUGAGUAACACGUGAGUAACCUGCCCUUGACUUUGGGAUAACUUCAGGAAACUGGGGCUAAUACCGGAUAGGAGCUCCUGCUGCAUGGGGGGGGUUGGAAAGUUUCGGCGGUUGGGGAUGGACUCGCGGCUUAUCAGCUUGUUGGGGGGGUAGUGGCUUACCAAGGCAUUGACGGGUAGCCGGCCUGGGAGGGUGGCCAGCCACAUUGGGACUGCGAGACGGAGCAGACUCCUACAGGAGACAGCAGUGGGGAAUAUUGCACAAUGGGCGGGAGCCUGAUGCAGCAACGCCGCGUGCGGGAUGACGGCCUUCGGGUUGUAAACCGCAUUCGCCUGUUACGAAGCGGGAGUGACGGUAAUGGGUGAAGAAGCACCGGCUAACUACGUG
RNAcentral lists this ribosomal RNA (468 nucleotides) under uncultured bacterium. RNAcentral describes it as "partial 16S ribosomal RNA". It matches the Rfam family "Bacterial small subunit ribosomal RNA", at positions 28 to 507 of the family's 1533-position model. The record is from RNAcentral.